This 492-nucleotide ribosomal RNA is filed under the name uncultured bacterium. RNAcentral describes it as "partial 16S ribosomal RNA". It matches the Rfam family "Bacterial small subunit ribosomal RNA", at positions 29 to 507 of the family's 1533-position model. The record is from RNAcentral.
AGUGAACGCUGGCGGUAGGCCUAACACAUGCAAGUCGAACGGCAGCACAGUAAGAGCUUGCUCUUACGGGUGGCGAGUGGCGGACGGGUGAGGAAUACAUCUGAAUCUACUUUUUCGUGGGGGAUAACGUAGGGAAACUUACGCUAAUACCGCAUACGACCUACGGGUGAAAGCAGGGGAUCUUCGGACCUUGCGCGAUUGAAUGAGCCGAUGUCGGAUUAGCUAGUUGGCGGGGUAAAGGCCCACCAAGGCGACGAUCCGUAGCUGGUCUGAGAGGAUGAUCAGCCACACUGGAACUGAGACACGGCCCAGACUCCUACGGGAGGCAGCAGUGGGGAAUAUUGGACAAUGGGCGCAAGCCUGAUCCAGCCAUACCGCGUGGGUGAAGAAGGCCUUCGGGUUGUAAAGCCCUUUUGUUGGGAAAGAAAAGCAGCAGGUUAAUACCCCGCUGUUCUGACGGUACCCAAAGAAUAAGCACCGGCUAACUUCGUG